Molecule: long non-coding RNA, 722 nt
Filed under: Sus scrofa (pig)
Lineage: Eukaryota; Metazoa; Chordata; Mammalia; Artiodactyla; Suidae
Description: lncRNA (ENSSSCG00015021358.1)
Source: RNAcentral
UCCUCCUUGCUGCCCCAGUCUCACUGCCCUCCAGCAGAGGCCACCUCUCAGAGUCCUGCACUACUCAAACAACCAGCAAGGGCUUGGCACUGGGCUCCUUGGGAAACGCCUGCCAGGCUGAAUUGUUCAAGGCUGGAAUCACAGCUGAAUGACUCACCCUGCCCAAGAUGCCCGCGUUAAUCCAGCGACUUCAUUCCAGUCACCACUUGUUACCGAGUGCCGAAGCCGAGAAAGAGAGAAGGCUUGAGAGGGAGGGCAGAUCCCCCCCCACACGCGGUAUCUACAUCUGAAAGGCAGCCUUUCUGCUGGAGGCCAGCUUGACUUCCUACACCGCCACUCCCUUACAGUCUUGAAAGCCAGCAAGAACUGUUCCGCUGCAAAAGUAGCUGCCUGGAUUCCAAGGUGAGUCAGAUAUUAUCCCCCAUCUAAGUAGACCAGGUGGGGAGUUCCCGUCGUGGCGCUGCAGAAACCAGUCUGACUAGUAUUCAUGAGGAUGCAGGUUCGAUCCCUGGUCUCCCUCAGAGGGUUAAGGAUCUGGCAUUGCCGUGAGCUGUGGUGUAGUUCGCAGACACAGCUUGGAUCCCGCAUUGCUGCGGCUGUGGUGUAGGCCAGCAGCUGUAGCUCUGAUUGGACCCCUAGCCUGGGAACCUCCAUAUGUGGCAGGUGCGGCCCUGAAAAAAAAAAAAAAAAGCAGUAGACCAAGAGGUGGCUCGAUGAUUGGA